CAGACAUCUACCCAGGGUCUCCAAUGGGGACACGGCCUGUGACUAAGCGAUGACAGCUUCAGCUGCUGGUACUAGGAAUGAGCCACCCUGGAUUGGCUUCCCUUCAGCAAGACCCCGCACAUGCCAGCCCUUCCACGGAGAUUUCUCAGGCUUGGAGGUAGCUCUGCUUUGUCAACAGUGAGAAUAAUGGCAAUAAAAACUGUAAUAAGA
This is a long non-coding RNA of Mastomys coucha (southern multimammate mouse), 210 nucleotides long. RefSeq lists it as uncharacterized. The record is from RefSeq and is a predicted model, not a curated record. The transcript has 2 exons. NCBI's taxonomy places the organism in Eukaryota, Metazoa, Chordata, Mammalia, Rodentia, Muridae.